CAUAACGAUGAGGGUAAUGAUAGUAGAGAACUGCAGCGAGAAAGGUUUAGAGUACGCAAGUUUUGAAGGCUCCCAAUGGAUUCGGGUAACGUCACCAAAGAUUUUAGACAUGAUAGGUUUAAGUCAUGCAGGUUUUUGAGGUGACAUAUAGGUUCAAGUGAUCUCACUUUUUCGCACGAACUCAAAUUUAGUGAGUACAAAUUCUGAAGGUUGCUAACUGAGUCAAGUAUUGUCAGAGAACUGCACCUUGAAAGAUUCAAUUUUUGCAAGUUGCAUAGGCUGGUAAUUGAUUCAGGCAAUUCUUGUAUUCUGGUCUCCGAAUGGUCAAGGUAUCUUAAGAGCUUCGGUGAGCUCUCCUCCUUUGACGAGCUACUCGCUAGUUCCUCAUAUGGGUACGGCCUGCACCACAACAACAACGCAAAAUAGUAAAUUUUUUAUCUGAUGCUCGUGUAGCACGUGCUGUAUAUUGCUUACACUUUCUAAUACUGCAUGAUAUAUAAGAUACCUUAUUUCAAUUUGCAAAGAAAAAUAUCCCAGGACUCAAAUAGUGUAUCAGCAAUAUGACUGAAAAUGAUUACUCGGUAAUUAAAUACUAUAUAGCUUUCAAGUAGAAAUUUUUCGGCAUCUCAAAUCGCUACAAAUUAAGAAAAGGUUAAAAUUUCAUUAAUUAAUUAGCCUAUAUACAUGCAAGAGACCGCUUGCAAAUUUUUUUCAGGCAACAAACCAUGUUUUAGAAUAUCUUAGCUGCACUUUCACGUAGUUGAUAUUGAAAUGUGGUUUUUAAACUGUGCAACAGCAAGCUGCUAUUGUUUCAAUUGUACAAAUUAGUAAAGUUGCAAUUGCUGCAAAAUUUAUGGAAAGAUAAUUCCCUCGUGUAAUCUAUGAACCACUUGUACAAGUAAAAUAUUUUGUUGAAUAGCAAUUUAGCAUAUCUAAAUAGGAAGGAAUAAGAACAGGGUAAAACUAAACUUAAAAAUUAGAAUCAUUCGGAAAAUAAAUUAAACAAAAUCUCACAAAUACAUAAAUGGAGGGUAGAAAUCAAAAUUAAUUCCUCCAGAAGAUGAGGAUUGGAGAUUGUGACUAGUAAAUGGUUUGUACCUUAUGCUGCAGUAAGUAUGUAUUUCUAUAGAUAUGCUACCGGAGAUUUAUCUAGAGAAGAAAAUUUUCAAUUUGGUCUCUCUGUGGUUUAAUACGGUGUCACUUUACCUCCCAAUAUUUUAAAUACUUUUACUUGAAAAUUCUGUAGGGUUUUUUUUUUUCCUGUAUCAUCAUAAGAACUUGCCGUCAAGUGAAAACUAAAGUGCUGAAAUAUAUAAACUAUGGGAUAGUAAAGUGAUAUAUUUUAUAAAAUAAAAGGUGACCACCUAUAUCUAAAUAUAUUUUUUCAAAUAGCACUAUUAUGGUUUAUAAAAUAUAUUACUUUACUACCUUAUAAUUCAUAAAUUUUAGUACUUUAAUAUUUUCUGAUAGUAAGUCCUUGCGGUGAAAUAAAGACACAACAAUAAAAUAGCAAAGUGAAAUAUUUUAUAGCAAAUGAAACUGCACUGAGCCACGUCGGGGUGGGCCUAACCAAAGUUUUUCCAUAUGGAUUUAAAAAAAAAUAAUAAUAAAGAAAGAGGUUUAUAUGCUAGCUACAAUAGAAUAUUAAGGUGCUAUCCAGCUAAUUAAUUAAAGAGUAAUCAAGAGUUCCAAAUUAAUUACCUUCCAUCAACUUUGACUUCUUCGAUGUGAUCGACGCUGGUGUCGACAAAGUGUUUAUCUGCAUCGAACAACAGCGGGGAACCUUUAAUGUGUAACUUCUUAAGUGUGGUCAUCUUGUGGGCAGGCAAGUAACGGAGACUGCUGCACCCCGAGAUCUCCAAGGACUGCAGCUCGGUGAGCUCCCCGAGCCAAUCUUCAAUUCUCUCAAGAUCUUUGCAAUCCCAUAUUGUCAGCCACUGGAGGGACGUGAGACCCCGCAAGCUCUCGGGCAAACAAGUUAGCUGCCGACAUUUUUGUAUUAUUAGCUCGCGCAGCCCCGUAUCUGGUGGCGGUUGAAGUGAAACGGCGGCAUCACCACCACCAAGUGGCAUCGCGCAUUCGAGAAUUAACGAUAGAUUCUCCUUGCUUGCUUGAGAAAUGAGCAGAUACUCAACCGAUGGCGGGAGGCAAGGCUCCGGCCUCAAUUGAGGACAUUCUUUAAGCAACAAUCCACCGAGACACGGAAAAAUGGGAACUCGCUCUCGCCUGCCUUCUUCGUCAUCCACCGUCAACACAGUCACCCAUUCUCGCAGCAACGGCAUGGAGGACAACUUAAGUAUCAUCAGCACAGGGAACUUAUCUACGCCCAAAUUUGUUAUUGCGGGCAUAUCGCCUAUUUGUAGUUUUGUAAGAAAAGGAAGUUGCCCCAGCGGCGGGAGUGAGCUGCAUACGGGAAUAUUAUCAAGUCUCAUUUCAUCGAGAUUUGGGAGGCACAAACCAAUCCCAUUCAUCAUCCAGCUAGGAAACUUCCUGCCUCCAUAGCCUCGUAUAUGCAAUUCCACUAGCUUUUGAUGUGGUUGAAGAUUUUCUAGCACGGUUUCAAUCUCUUCCGCCGGUAGUACAGUACUAUCCAUGCAUUCUUCCGCGCUUAAAAUGUUCCAUUCCAACUUCAAAGACCGCAGGUUCUUCUCUAUCAAAUUUGCAGCCUUGGCAUCAACCGGACUCGUUACAUUUUCAAGACCCUUGAUCCGGAGCUCACCGACAAGCCUCAAGUGCUCUAGCUCAGAAAUGCUAGCACAAUGUUCGACGCGGUCUUGCUUGCCGAUGACAAAAACGGACAAUUCCUGCAAGCUAACUAACUUGCCGAUCCCUUGGGGCAUGCCCUUCAAUUCCGAGCAAUUGUUGUUUAGCAAGACUCUAAGUUUGGUCAGCUUUUGGAUCAUUUUAGGCAGCUCACAUAAUUUUCCACAACCACUGAUGUCGAGUUUCUCUAAAUGCUGAAGAUCACUUGACGAUGAGGGUAAUGAUUGUAGAGAACAACAUUCAGAAACGUUCAGAAUACGUAAGUUUUGAAGGCUCCCAAUGGAUUCAGGUAAUGCCACCAAAGAUUUUAGACAUGAUAGGUUUAAGUCAUGCAGGUUUUUGAGAUCACAUAACGAUGAGGGUAAUGAUUCUAGAGAAAAGCAGUUCGAAAGGUCCAGAAUGCGCAAGUUUUGAAGGCUCCCAAUGCAUUCAGGUAAUGCCACCAAAGAUUUUAGAUAAGACAGGUUUAAGUCAUGUAGGUUUUUGAGGUGACAUAAUGAUGAGGGUAACCAUUCUAGAGAAGAGCACCUAGAAAGGUUCAGAACACGCAAGUUUUGAAGGCUCCCAAUGGAUUCAGGUAAUGUCACCAAAGAAUUUAUAUCUACUAGGUCUAGGUAAUGAAGGUUUUUGAGGUGACAUAUAGGUUCAAGUGAUAUCACAUUUUCGCACGAACUCAAAUUUAGAGCGUACAAAUUCUGAAGGUUGCUAAUGGAGUCAGGUAUUGUCAGAGAUCGGCAAUUGCAUAAAUCUAAAUUCCGCAAAUUCACAAGCCUUCCUAGAGAUUUGGGUAAUGUACGGAUCUUGCGGCAGCUUGAAAGAUACAAGGUUUGCAAGUUGCAGAGGCCAGUAAUUGAUUCAGGCAAUUCUUGUAUAUUGGUCUCCGAAAGGUUAAGGUAUCUUAAGAGCUUCAACUUACUGAUUGAGCUUGGCAGCAUAGAAAUUUCGAUAAAACUUAAAUCCAACAGGCGUAAGCAUUUUGUGUCACUAUAAAAAGCCAUAAUAAAUGAACAAGAUACCGAAAAUUGAAGAGCUCGCAACCUCCGCACUACUGUGGUUGGAAUCUGCGGCAUGGAACUACUGUCUAUUGACGCAUAGCGGCAACCUUCUGGGAUCCUUGUCGACUCUUCUCCAACUAUAACAGCAACUUCUUCUCUUGCUACAGAUUGUGCGAGGUCGUGCACUAAAUCAUGCAUACGGCAGGUGGUAACCUUUCUAUAAUUUUCCUUCACGUACCUGAAGGAAAGACAUCCAUAAUAGAUCCUUAACGUACUCAUCUCCAAUAUGUUCCAUCGAAGUCCUUGUUUCAUGCGAUGAAAUGAAGCCUAAAGCAAUCCAUUGCCGGAUCAAGUCAUCCUUGCCAAUCUCAUAGCCUUUGGGAAAUAUGGAGCAGUAAACGAAGCACUGCUUCAAAGCCGACGGCAUCUGAAUGUAGCUCAAUUUUAAUGAUGGUAAAAUAGUUUUCUCUUCUUUCAGACUCCAAAUUUCGUUAUCCCUAAUAGCGGACCAUGCAUCCUCUGUCCUGCUCUUAAAGCGCAUCAUACUUCCCAAAGCAUUUGCUGCUAACGGCAGGCCGCCGCACUUCUUAACUAUCUGCUUUCCGAUUGCGACCAAACUCGGAUAGUCGUUCUCUUCCCCUUCCUUGAAUGCCCGUCUUUUGAACAAUGUCCAACAAUCAUUAUAUGAUAAGCCUUUCACACGGUGCGGUUCGACUGUUUUCAUUAUCUCAGCAACCUUUUCACUCCGCGUGGUCACUAAGACUUUGCUUCCCUUCUUGCUGUCCUUAAAUACAACGUUCAACUCCUUCCACUUAUUCUGAUCUUCGUUCCAUACAUCAUCCAGCACCAGCAAAAAUCUCUUCUGGCUAAAGAUCCUGACAAGGCAAGUGGCAACGGCAUCCGAGUUAUCAAGAGCACAAUUUUCUCCAGCUGCAGAUAUCACCGGCUUUGCAAUCGUCUUCAUGUGGAAAUCGGUAGACACGCAGACCCACACCCGUAGAUCAAAGCGCUGCUGGUCCGCAACCCGCCCGUCGUUGUAGGCCAGCUGAGCGAGCGUCGUCUUCCCCAAUCCCCCCAAUCCCACGAUCGGAAUGACCGACACGUCGUGAUCGCCCCCCGUCUCUAGCAGUAGCUUCACAAUUUUCUCUUUAUCACCAUCUCUCCCUACUAUCGUCUUUUCGUUGACGACCGAGAAUGUCUCAGGGCGUUUGAACUCAGCCUCCCGAGCAGGGCCAGCUUCGGUAAGACCGAAAUCAUUUCUUUGUUUCGCUAUCUUACCGAUCUUUUCUCUGAGCUCUUUCAUCCUGUGUGCCAUCUUGACCUUAAACUUCAGAUGCAUCGGAUUAGCGCGGGACAGAAAUCCACGUACCUUUUCAUCUUCCGUCCGGAUCUCGUCCAGCAGGUCGUCGGCGUCGUAGGCGGCGUCCUUCAGUUUGCGCAGCCAGUCGCGCAGAGCGUGGCUCUCCUUCCCAACGCUGCUCCGCUCCUCGGCGUCGAGAAGCACCGCCUGGAUCGCCGAGAAGUUGCUUCUGAGAUCAUCCGCGUCGUCCUUGAAGCUCCGCAGCAGCCCGAUUUCGUCCCCGAGAGCGGAGCCCAGCUUGCCCAGCACUCCUUUCACCAGAUCGAAUGCGAUCCCCUCCGCCAUCGCGCGCGCGUGCUGCUGCCUAAUUCUUCUCAAUACGAACGUCCUACUACAGAGAAGCAGAGGAUAAUGAAGGGUAUGCUCUCCACCACUGGAAGAUGAUUGCUCCAAUUAUUAUUGCGCUACUGCUCCAAUUAUUGUGCUGCACGCUACUCCCCCAAUCGUCUUUAUCCUAUUGUACAGAUUAUAAAAAUAUUAUCAGUUUCAAAUUGGAUCUUGUCGUUUCUGUGUCCAUUUUUUAAAAAUGGAGCGGCGGGAAUGGUGGGCCGCCCUUAUUAUUAUUAUUAUUAUUAUUAUUAUUAUUAUUAUUAUUAUUAUUAUUUUCUCAUACAACUGAAGAAAACGGAAUGAAGAUGUUUGAGAUUUCUGAAAGAUGAUUAAAUGGUAUCACUUAAGAAAUUAAAAAAGCAGUCAAAAUCAGUUUUAGUUUCGAAUAAUUUUGAAUCCGAAUUUUAAAAAGGAAUAGUGAAUCUUAAUUUGAACCCAAAAAAUUUCAAUUUUCAGAUCCGAAUCUGAUUCCAAAAUUGAUAAUAAAAUUUCAAACCAAAUCCUAAUCUUUGGCUUCACAGUCCAGUCAGAUUGAAUAAUACCAGCAUAAUUUUCACCCCAAGGCAUUAUUCUAACAUGCUAUUAUACUUGAAGAAUUGAAUUGAUAUUUAUAAAUUUUGAUUGCCCAAAAAAAAGAAAAAGAAAAAAGUAUGGAGACCACUGGAGCACUGCACCACAAGUGCACCACAGUUCAAAUCGGCUUUUUAAUUAGCAUUGGUCUUCUUAAUUGCCAUUAAAAAAUUUAUUUUCUUAAUUUACACCACUUUAUACUAUCAUUUUUUUUAAAAAAAAAUUAGACCCUGCCGGCGAAAAAUAUAGAAAAUUUUAUUAUGCCUAAUUAUCUCAAAUCUAUAUAAACUAGAUUGGCUAUUGGAAUUUUUUUUCAAAACUAUCGUUGCUAUCGUAAACGAAAAUAAAAAUUUUUUUUAUUUAUCGUCCCUAGAGCAAGUGGCAGAGAGCUUGGUCAAUGGUAUCCGAGACCCAAAUUCAAAUUCCAGUUGAUUCAUAUUUCCAGCUAAGUUUAUUUCUAAAUAAAAUAAAACGACGGGGUAACGUGCGACCUAUCUCUCUCUCUCUCAAAAAAAAAAAAAAAAAAAAAAGAGCUUAGCUUUCUUUUGUAUCUGUCGACAUUCUUAUUAUAUUAUUAGAGGCAAUGGUUCAUUUGUUUUGUAUACAUCUCAAUUGCUGCUCCACUCUUGAUUGUCUUCACAUAGGUUUAAAAAAAAAAAAAACAGAAAACGACCUUGUUAUUAAUAUAGGGGUCUAAUUAAGACAAAUAAAUAUAUAAAUGAAAAAAAAAAAAAAGUUUAGUGGAGCAAUUUCAUACGCCAGUAUAGUGCACGUGACUUUAUGCAUUUUAGCCCCCCCAAAAAAUUGUAUUAUUUUGUUGAAAACUUGAAAUGCGAACAGACGUAAGAGCUGCACAUUGUAAAGGAGAGUACAGACGACAUGGUGGCCGAGCUGGCUCUCCUCAUGUAAAAUGUAAUUAAAUAAAUGUGUGCCAGCCAUAGUUUAAUUGUAGUUGCUCCUGGCCUGAUCGCCUACAGUUGCAAAUCCUCACUGUUACAUACUUUUGCACGCGAUACAUCAUCUCUUUUUGUUACAGAUAAAUUGCAAGUUUUAGAGGACUCGCAUACAGCAUCUAGAAAUUUUUAUGAGCCGACCCAAACUACUUGUACAGCCAUGCAUUUGGCUGUUGCGUCCGGAUCUCGUCCAGCAGGUCGUCGGCGUCGUAGGCGGCGUCCUUCAGUUUGCGCAGCCAGUCGCGCAGAGCGUGGCUCUCCUUCCCAGCGCUGCUUCGCUCCUCGGCGUCGAGAAGCACCGCCUGGAUCGCUGAGAAGUUGCUUCGGAGGUCGUCCGCGUCGUCCUUGCAGCUCCGCAGCAGCCCGAUUUCGUCCCAGAGAGCGGAGCCCAGCUUGCCCAGCACUCCCGUCACCAAAUCGAAUGCGAUCCCCUCCGCCAUCGCGCGUGCGUGCUGCUGCCUAAUUCUUCUCAAUGCGAACGUCCUACUACAGAGAAGCAGAGGAUAAUAAGGAGAUGCUCUCCACCAGUGGAAGAUGAUUGCUCCAAUUAUUGUGCUGUGUCUCCAAUAAUUAUGGUGGGGGCCGGAGGAGCUUGGAGAGAACGCACGCGCCAAUGCUUUUUUUUGUUUUUUUGUUUUUUUGAAAACUCUUCAUUGGGUAUAGAAUAUACACCCCAUCUAUUUAAAAAUAAAGUGUAUUUUACUAAUCACAUCAACCUAACCAGUGAAAUACACCCCAUGGGUCAAUGAUCAAUCUUUACCCAAUUGUACAAUUUAUAAAAAUAUUUGGAUCUUCUUGCUUCCGUGUCCAUUUUCGGAUAAAGAGGCAGAAAAGCAUGCUCCCUUUGUUGGUUUCCCCUCCCCCCCCCCUCUCUCGUGCUUGGAAAGGAGGAAACGAAUAAAAACGCAAUGAAGAUGUUUGAGGAGGAGGGGGACCUCUUGUUUUUUUCUUUUUUUUUUUUGCAAGGUCCCUUAAAGGAGGACUUUUUUUUGCUCAGUCACUUGAGGUAAAUCCUGAUGCAUCAAAGAUGCAUGUUGACGGCAGCGAUGGUAAUGAAUGAAGAAAUCGAGUAGGAUGAUGACUCAAAACUUCAUGAAGGAGAAAUUUUUUUUUUUUAAGACAUCAAUGUUAUUAAUUAAUUAUCUUCUAUUUGUGAACUGAUUUUAUUUAUGAUUUUGCAACUUUACUAUUAUGCAAUUUUUCUCCAACUCUGAACAAGUGUAUGCCCAAUGAUUCUACGUCAAAAAGCAAAAAUAUUUGUCAUUUUGUCUUUGCUUCAAUUCUAAUUCCGCGUUUGUAAGUACGGAUUUCUUGAGACCAAUUUAGCUCUAUCAAAACUAUUUUGCUUGAAAUAAAUACAGCUUAUGUAAAAAUACGAUUAUUCAGAACAAAUUCAGCUGUUGUUACCAUCUUUAAAUACGAUUAUUCAGAACAAAUUCAGCUGUUGUUACCAUCUUUACCGGUCUUUGCAAGUUUAUCGGUUGCUUCGAAGCAAUUUCAAAACAAAUUCAGCGCGAAAGGGAAUAAUCUUUGUCAAAAUAGAUGCUGACCUGCAACCAAUAGCAAUCUUAAACACUAUUAUUACAAGUUUUAAGAUUGAAACGGUUUCAAUUUUUAACUUAGCUACUACAUAUGUUGGUCGACAAGAGGAGCAACUGCAGCGACAACUAAAUUUCAAAAAAAUAGUAUUAGAGAGUGUCCACAACAAGCUGUUAACUAACUCCAAAACUAAUCAGACUGGAGGAAAGAACCAUCCAAUACUAUUUCAAAAAAAUAGUUUUUUUUUUUUUUUUUUUUUGAGAGAGAAAGGUAGCACGCUACUCGCUUCAUUCAUUAAAAUGAUGAACUCAGCUACAGGGGUGAGGCAACACGGCCUCGGGGUGAGGGAGAAAAAAAAAAAAAGUUUAGGGUUUAGGAUAUUACUGUCGAUUAACGAUUACCAACAAGCCGUCGAUUAGUUGAGAAAAAAUGCUCCCAAAGAUACGUCAGCUGUUUGAUCUUGUUAACAGCAAGGAUAGGGUCUGGCUGGGAAUUCCUAAAAAUCAUGGCGUUUCUGACUUUCCAAAUUACCCACCAGCAGACUACCAACCCGGUUAACCUGGAGCUCGCCGACUGUGUUCCACUUGUCGACAUGAACCCAUCCCAAAUCGAGGUCACGUCCUCCCCCCACUCACUGGGCUGGGCAAUUUCCACGGUCGACACCAAUAGAAAUUGCGAAAAGACACAACGUGUGAAUAAGUGAUCGGCAGUUUCAUCCUCAACACCGCACAACACACAUGCUGUAUUUCCAGUCCAACCUCUUUUCAACAGGUUAUCUGCAGUAAGAGGCCUUUUCUUAAGGACAAUCCAGCAAAAUACUUUCACUUUAAGGGGGGCUCGCAUUCUCCAUAUCAUGCUUUGUCGGGCGUCCCUUAUACCCCCAUCAUUCAUCAUCGCAUAGGCCGAUUUUACCGUGAAGCUCCCGUCUGAUGACCAACGCCAAUGUACGCUAUCUGGCCUAUGCACAAGCUUGAAGAUGGAGAUCAUUUCCUUCAAAUCUAAGUAACUAGGACUCGUACCAUGUCUACCCGAGUAAUCGCCUCUACAAAUCUUGCUCCAGUCCCAACCGUCCUGUGAUAAGCAGUCACUGAUUUUUAUAUUUCUGUGAUGCGAUAAGGAGAAUACCUCAGGAAAAGACAAAUCUAACGUCUUUUCCCCACACCAACGAUCAGACCAAAACUCGAUAUUGCGCCCAUUGCCCAAAUUAUAGUAUGCUCCCCACUUAAAACAUUCGGUGUGGCUAAGCACUCCCUUCCACCAAGAAGAGCUAGGUCUAAAGGUUCUGCCCUUCUUUAGAGGUCUUCUUCUACGGUAGUAUAUAUCAUGGAUAAGUUUAUUCCACUGUAAUUGAGGCUCCGAGAGGGAUUUCCACCACCAUUUGGUUAGUAGGGCUCGGUUCAUCGUGGCAAGAUCUAAAACGUCGAGCCCUCCCUCCUUCUUACUCUUAUAAACGGUCUUCCAAGCGACCAAACAUCCCUUGCCAGAUGCAUUAUCACUUCCCUUCUAGAAAAAGUUUCUACGAAGAGCUUCAAUACGCUUAAUUACCCACUUAGGUGCCAAGAACACUGACAAAAAAUAUAAAGGUAGAUUUGUUAGGACAGCAUUCACCAAAAUAAGUCUGCCCCCUGUUAUGUACCUGACUCGGCACAACCCGUCGAGGAUGAGAUGUCGCUGAGACGUUGGACGGCGCCGAGGAUGAUGGAUCACGUAACUGCUUGACUCGGAUCAGAUUUGGACCCGAAUCGUGAUUGCUGUGAAUAAGAAGGUAAAGAAAGAAUAGAAAAAGAGGAACAGGAAGAAUGAAAAGAGGGAAAAGAAAGAGAAAGAUUAAGAGGGAUUAAGGGGAUGGAAGGGAAGAUGAGGAAGAAGAAAGUUUCAUUAAUAUUUUCCUAAUUUAUUUGAUUACACGCUGCCCUUUUAUUCUCAACAAUAGAAUAGAAACAAAACCCUAAUCCUAAUUGGACUAUCCCAAGCUCUGUUGCUUCCCGCCACUAGCGCAGCCUUUCUCUGGGCCUUUUCCUGAAGUUAUGGGCCCCCUGCGUGGGCCUCUUCAUUGGGUCACCUCCGGAUGGCUUGUCGGGUCCGCCCUUCUUCACGCCCGGAUCCAUCAGAACUGACUAGAACCUCAGAACGGUCGGCUGCCCUAGCCUCCUCGUCCGUUCGCCCCCUUCUUCCCCUCACUACCAUCGCCCUCAUCUCCACCGAUACCUCCCUCACUGCGGUCUUCCCCCAGACUCCAUGAUUGACGGUUGAAGCUUCACAACCUGAGACUUGAAGUAAAGAAAAGCUAAGCCUCCUCUCUACCCUUACUUUUAUUCUAACUAUCCUACUAUACUCUACUCCUAAUCCUCCUAUUUUACUUGGCAGGCGUGACAAUCCUCCCCACUUAAGCUGAUCCUUGCCCUCAAGGAUCAAAAGAUGGAUAUUGGCUUUUUAGGAACCAAUAAUCUUCCCACGUUGCGAGAUCCCUCGAAAGAUUUGCCCAUUUCACCAACACUUCGGUCACUGCUCGAUUCCCACGCUUCACCGUUCUCCUUUCCAAAAUCUCUUCAGGUUCGACUCUCAACUCUUCUUCGUCUCCAAUAGUGGGAGCCAUAGGUGAUGCCUGGACUGAUAAUGGCGGGCUCUUCUUUAACAGGGAAACAUGGAACACCGGAUGAACCCGCGAUCCUUCGGGUAACUGCAGUUUAUACGCGACGGUCCCAACGCGCUCCAAUAUCUUAAAAGGACCAAAAAAACGUGCUGUAAGUUUGACAUUUUUCCUUAUCGCCACGGUGGUUUGCCGAUAAGGUUGUAGCUUAAGGUAAACCCAAUCUCCCACUGCGAACUCCUUCUCUUUCCUGUGCUUGUCUGCCUGUUGCUUCAUUCUGCUUUGGGCUACUUGCAAUCGAUCCCUCAAUUCCCUAGUCAGCUUCUCCCUUUCCGUAGCCCAUUCUUUAAACUCCUGUGAGGUAGCUGUCUCCACAGCGGCCACCAGGUAGUUCGGAGGAGGUUGCCCAUAUAAUGCCUCGAAUGGAGUCAUACCCAAGGAUGAGUGGAAAUUAGUAUUAUACCACCAUUCGGCUAACGCUAACCACGAGUGCCAUUUUUUUGGAUGUUGGAAACACAAACACCUCAAGUAAGUUUCCAAACACCUAUUAACCCUUUCGGUUUGCCCGUCGGUCUCCGGGUGAUAGGCUGAGCUCAUAUGCAGUUUGGUCCCCAAGGAUUGGAAAAGCUCUCUCCAAAAUUGACUUACAAAUAUCUUGUCCCUAUCAGAAACAAUCCUCUUGGGACAUCCGUGAAGUUUAUAGAUAGUUCCCAUAAAAGCCUUAGCUACAUCCGACGCGGUAAAUGGGUGUUUGAGCGAUAUAAAAUGGGCAUAUUUUGUGAGUCUGUCAACUACUACCAUGAUAGUAUCGCAUCCUUCCGAUUUCGGUAAUGAUUCAAUGAAAUCGAUACUUACGUCUUCCCAAAUUCGGUGAGGGAUAGGCAAUGGCUGCAGUAAUCCAGCGUAGGGUGUUCCAUCUACCUUGUUUUGAGCGCAAACAGUGCACUUUUUGACCCAUUCUGCAACAUCUCUUCUCAAUCCCUGCCAAAAGAAGUGUUGUUUAACUCUCCGAUAUGUAUUCUGGAUACCUGAAUGUCCUCCCAUGGCAGAGUUAUGCAUUUGAUCCAAUAUGCUAUCUCUAAUAGAUCCGGUCUGCCCCACAUAUAGCCUUCCCUUGUGACGCAGCAACUCAUUGCCAUAAGUGUAUGGCCCUGAAGGGUUCGGCUGUAAGGUUAACUCGUAUAUUGUUUUCUCACAGUGGGGGUCUUCUUUGUAACUAGCCACCACUUCUCGCACCCAGGUUGGUACGACCGCUGAGAUAGCUAAGAUAACUCCUUCUUCUCUUCUAGAUAGUGCGUCAGCUGCUGCAUUCUCUUUACCCUUCUUAUACUGAAUUGUGUAAUUCAGUCCCAUCAUCUUAAGCAUGCCUUUCUGUUGCAUGGGUGUGGAUAUCCUUUGCUCCAAGAGGUGUUUUAGACUCUCGUGAUCUGUUUUUAUCACAAAUGUACCGGUGCCAAUAUAGUGUUUCCACUUUUGUACCGCCAUAAGUAUAGCCAGGAAUUCCUUUUCAUAGGUUGACAAUCCCAUAUGCUUACCGCCAAUGGCCUUGCUCAAGUAGGCAAUGGGUCUACCUCCUUGUGAUAAUACUGCCCCAAUCCCUGUGCCACAAGCAUCCACCUCGAUAGUAAAUGGCUCACUAAAGUUAGGCAUAGCUAGUACUGGGGCCUUUGUCAUAGACACCUUUAAUUCUUCAAAAGCUGUUUGUGCCUCUCUAUUCCAGCUGAAUUGAUCCUUUUUAAGUAAAUCAGUUAGGAGCUUACUGAUUUUACCAUAUCCCUUGAUGAAUUUCCUAUAAUAUCCGGUGAAACCUAGAAACCCACGUAGUUCCUUGACCGACUUAGGCACGGGCCAGCUAGUCAUAGCUUCAAUUUUGGACGGAUCGGUGGCCACUCCCUCUUCUGAAAUUAUAUGACCCAAAUACUCCACCCUGUUCUGUCCAAAGUAGCAUUUACUUCGCUUCGCAUAAAAUUUAUUCCUUCUCAAUUCUUCCAACGUGAUGCGCAAGUGCCUUUCAUGAUCCUUCAUGUUCUUACUGUAGAUUAGAAUGUCAUCAAAGAAAACCAGAAUAAAUUUCCUCAAAUACGGUUCAAAUGUGCAAUUCAUCACAGCUUGAAAUGUGGCAGGAGCGUUCGUAAGACCGAACGGCAUGACUAGAAACUCGUAAUGCCCUUGAUGCGUCCGAAAUGCAGUUUUAUGAAUGUCAGCAGGAUUCAUCCGAAUUUGAUGAUAGCCCGAUCUGAGGUCUAUCUUCAAAAAACACCUUGACCCGCCCAAUUCAUCUAGCAGGUCGUCUAUAAUCGGUAUUGGGAACUUGUCCUUCACCGUGCAUUUGUUAAGCUGUCGAUAAUCUAUACACAUUCUCCAACUCCCAUCCUUCUUUUUGACCAAUAGGGCGGGGGAAGCAAAGGGACUAUUACUCCGCUGAAUGAUCUCAUGGCUCAAUAAUUCUUUUAUCUGUUUUUCAAUCUCCUCCUUUUGAUCAUGUGAAUACCGAUAUGGUCGAAUGUUAACCGGUGUCGUGUUGGAUUGUAAAGGAAUCUUGUGAUCCUGGAUUCGAGGUGGGGGUAACUCCCGUGGCUCCUCGAACACAUCCUGGAACUCCUCCAGAAGCUGUUGGAUCCCUGGAGUUAGGUUGACUCCCUGUUCGGCCUCUUCUGAUAACGCUUGGUGCCUGAGGAGAUAACAUUCCCCUUUCUCGAUCUCUUGCCUCCACUGAGCUGCAGAGAUUAAGCUCAAUUUAGCUCCUUCGUCAAUCCCCUUCAACUCAAGCUUUUGUCCCUCCUUCAUGAUCACGACUGAGUUGGAUAAGAAAUCAAAAGUUACUAAUCCAUAAGAUUUGAGCCAAUCGAUUCCUAACACCACAUUCGAGCCUUCGAUUCUGAUUACUCUCAAGUCAGUUUGAAAAGAGUGUCCUUGCAUAGUCCAGGUAAAUCCGGGGCAUCUGAGCUUACUCAAAACCUUGUGCCCAUUUGCUACUGUCACCGUCAGAGGUGGCGCUGCUUCCAUCCGUGCUCCUAUUUCUUGGGCUACUUGCAGGUCGAUGAAGCUGUGCGUGCUUCCCGUGUCUACCAAGAUGGUAAGGGCCCGAUUGUUGGUCUCCCCUCGUAUCUUAAUGGUAUCCUGGGGUAUCUCUCCACACAAGGCAUGUACAGAAACUCCGAUUUCCUACCGAUCCUCGCCGCCAGGUAUAAUUUCAACUUCCUCCCCUUCUCUCCCCGCGAUUGCCCCUUCACUAUUUCCUGUUUGCAAGCAAUCUUCAUCAUAAACCUCCAUAAUGUUGUCAGUAGCUUGUAGAAUGUUCAGAGAUUUGUUUGAACACACAUGCCCCUGGUGAUACUUAUCUCCACACCGAAAACACAGCCCUGCUGCUCGACGUUGCUCCAUUAAUUGCUUGUUGAUCUGGUAAGGGUUCGCAGCAGUUUUGUUUUGAUUUUGGUUUGCCUGCUUGUUUCCCACCGAGCUCUUAAACAGUGAGUUCGAUUGAUACGAUCUCGGAGUAUAUCUACUCUUUCGAUUGAUCACUGUAAUAGCCCUUUCAUGUAACUGUGCUUGUUCGUAGGCUUCUUCUAAUGAGUUAGGAUGAGCGAUGUCAAGAAAGGGAACUAAUUCUUCCUUGAGCCCGUUAAUAAAGCAUGCAAUAAAAUACUCCUCCGAUAAGUGUGGGUUGUAAUGGAGCAACUGGAAUCUCAGUUCCUCGAACCUUUCUUGAUAUUUCUCGCAAGUCCCUGUGUGCUUCAAGUUACUGAACUCUCGAAUUAGAUAUCUCUCCCCCAUAUGUGAAAAUCUUCUACAUAUAGCUUCGGUGAACUCGUCCCAAGAAACGAGUUGUUUGUUAAUAAAAUACCCUUGUUUCCAAGUUCUUGCCUUACCGAUUAAGUGCAUGGUUGCUACACUUAGCCAUUGAUGCUGGGGUAUCUGAUACAGUUCAAAAUAUUGCUCGCAAUUUUCGAUCCAAUUUCGAGGGUCAUCACCAUCAAAGGAAGGAAAAUCCAGUUUCGGGUAAGGUAAUUGGUAAUGAUUGUGUUUGUUGACCCAUGGUGAGCUAUGAUUCUCUUCCUCUUCAAUUUGCCGCAGCGGCGUUGGUAAAAUUCCCUUGCCUUUAUCCGUUUUGAUCGCUAUUGGUGUUCUACUGCUUCCAGGGUUGCCGCAUUGUGGGAAUUUCCCUUCGAGAGGGCUUGCUGUAUCUGGGCUCUUGAGUGGAGGUGGCUUAGCUGCGAACAGCUUGAGCAGCUCCUCGUGCCUUUUGGUUGCUUCAAUCCGCAUUGCUUCGAAUUGCCUUUCCCCGGACUUCUUGACUUCGGCUAACUGUCGGUUGAGUACCUCAAUCUCGGCCUGAUGCUCAGUUCCUAGUUUCUGGAACUGCUCCUCUAAAGUACGUAUAUGAUCACUGAGAUCUCUCAACCUAGUCCCCUCAGCCAUCUCUAUCUCAUCAAGAUAUUCUUUUGGGUUAAAUCUAAACUUGUUGCCUCGUUUACCCCCAAUCUUGCUAAAAUCCGAGAAUGAUUGAAUGUAUUUCGAGCGUGAUUCGGCACAGGGUUGUUACUGUGGUGGUUUCCUUUGUCCAAACCCGAUCUCGGAUCAGAUUUGGCAGCGCGGAAAUCUUUUCGCGAUUAAACUCGACAAUACUCGAUCGGAGUUAAGAAGCAAUUUCACCACACAACGCCCUGGGGUCGUACCGCUCUGAUACCAAUUGUUACGUACCUGACUCGGCGCAACCCGUCGAGGAUGAGAUGUCGCUGAGACGUUGGACGGCGCCGAGGAUGAUGGAUCACGUAACUGCUUGACUCGGAUCAGAUUUGGACCCGAAUCGUGAUUGCUGUGAAUAAGAAGGUAAAGAAAGAAUAGAAAAAGAGGAACAGGAAGAAUGAAAAGAGGGAAAAGAAAGAGAAAGAUUAAGAGGGAUUAAGGGGAUGGAAGGGAAGAUGAGGAAGAAGAAAGUUUCAUUAAUAUUUUCCUAAUUUCUUUGAUUACACGCUGCCCUUUUAUUCUCAACAAUAGAAUAGAAACAAAACCCUAAUCCUAAUUGGACUAUCCCAAGCUCUGUUGCUUCCCGCCACUAGCGCAGCCUUUCUCUGGGCCUUCUCCUGAAGUUAUGGGCCCCCUGCGUGGGCCUCUUCAUUGGGUCACCUCCGGAUGGCUUGUCGGGUCCGCCCUUCUUCACGCCCGGAUCCAUCAGAACUGACUAGAACCUCAGAACGGUCGGCUACCCUAGCCUCCUCGUCCGUUCGCCCCCUUCUUCCCCUCACUACCAUCGCCCUCAUCUCCACCGAUACCUCCCUCACUGCGGUCUUCCCCCAGACUCCAUGAUUGACGGUUGAGGCUUCACAACCUGAGACUUGAAGUAAAGAAAAGCUAAGCCUCCUCUCUACCCUUACUUUUAUUCUAACUAUCCUACUAUACUCUACUCCUAAUCCUCCUAUUUUACUUGGCAGGCGUGACACCCCCUCUCGAAAGAAGUUUCGCCUGCCAUCCGUCGAUCUUACGAUGAAUAUUCUGGAUAACGCCCAUCCAAUCCUCCUUAGAAGGAGGGCGUGUAGCUAAGGGCAAGCCUAAAUACUUGGUCGGUAAGUUGCCAGUUUUACAUUCGAGUAUAUUCGCUAGUUUUGUCGCUUUUCCUUCGACUUUUCUGGUAUAGUACAAUUCUAUUUUUUCCCUGUUGAUUUUCAUCCCUGAAGCCCAUUCGAAGAGCUGCCACAAGAAUUUGAGAUUACCCAUAUACUUAUCUUUUGCCUCACAAAAAAAUAGUAUUAAAGAGUGUCCAAAACAAGCUGCCAACUCCAAAACUACUCUGAUUGAAGCAAAGAUCCAUCCAAUACUUAAAAUGUUUUUUUUUUAAAAAAAAACACCUAACUUGAACCAUUUAUUUGAAUCUUUUUGCGUAACGCCUAGCUUGAACCAUUCAAUUAAUUUUUCGACCAAACACCUUGCUUUUGAAGCAUACAUCCAACAACACAUUGCACUGCAUAAUGCGUCAAACCAUAACAAACUGUAAAUAUCACUAAUGAAUCCAAGCAGUACAUAAAUGCACUUGGUAGUUCAUACAUAAACAUUAAAGCCUCCUUUUUUUUGCUCCACAAUUAUAUGCAGCAUCUUUUUUUAUUUUUAUUGAGGGCCAAAAUUUUCUUUAUCUUAAUCAACCAAAUUGGGAUCUAGGUGUGGGGGAUACCCUGUUCUUCAUGACAAAGAAAGACCCCUUUUGCAGAGUUCAGGUUGUUGUUGUUGAUGUUGUUGUUGUUGUGUGUUGUAUUUUAGGGGAAUAAAAAUGUUAUGUAAUUAAUUUGAUUUCUUUAUCGUUUGAAAUUAAUUACCUAAUAUUUACAAAUUUUAAAUUAAUUUUACUCUCUAUUCUUUAACACCAUAUGAUUUUGGUUUAUGAAAAAUCGCUGCGUACACCUCGUGCAUCCAAACAGGUGUGCACCAGGGUUUUGUUCAUCCUUAAUAUUUUCUUUUUAUUUUAUUCCAGCCCUUUAAUUCAUAAGUAUAAAAAAUUUCAACUAACGGGGAGAAGUCAGAUAUGAGAAAUCUUAGAAUGAUGUGGCACCUUUUUAGUGGGCUUCUGAAUUAAAAUUUAACAGGGAGAAGUCAGAGCUAGACUGAGGGCAAAGCUGCAAGAUUAGCGAGUUUGCUUGACUGCAAAGUGGGCACCUUCCCCACCACGUACCUAGGGUUCCCCUUUUCCCCAAUGCCCCCCACAAAGGAGGCAUGGAGAGGGGUAAUACAGAAACUACAAUAUAGAAUCGAUGGAUGGCAAGCCAAACUCCUAUCAAGGGAGGGUAGACUUAUCUUGGUCAACGCAGUGUUUACCAACCUACCACUAUACUUUCUGUCAGUAUUCAAGGCACCCAGUUGGGUAAUCAAGCGUAUCGAAGCCUUACGCAGAGAUCUUUUUGGGAGUGGCGGAGGCAACUCUCCAGGCAAAGGGUGUCUAGUUGCAUGGAAGAACGUCUGUUUGUGCAAAUCGGCAGGCAGUUUGGGCAUUCUAGAUGUAGCUAUUAUGAAUCGGGCACUUCUGGUCAAGUGGUGGUGGAGAUUUUAUACAACACCCCACUUGCAGUGGAUCAAGAUUAUCCGUGCCUUAUUUUAUCAAAGAAGGAAACCCUACGGGAGGGAAAAAGCUUCAGGCUUCACUCACACUGGUGAAAAAGAGUUUUAACCACCAACGCUAUCUUCAACAGGGAAUCAAGUAUAAGCUGGGCAAUGAAAGCCCUAUUGACUUUUGGUCGGACAGAUGGUGUGGUGAUACCACACUUCAAACGUUCUUCGCAGAGAUUUACAAGUUGCUGUAAUGCAAACCAAUUCUCUUUAGUGCUUGCUUCGAAAGUCAGGACUGGGAUUGGACUAGAAUCCUCGGCAAUGAGUCGGAUUUGGAGCCUAGGCUGAGUCCCAAACUCUCGGCGCUCAAAAAUAAGGUAAGCAGCUAUAAAAUUAGGCACAGGUCGGAUUCGAUAGGGGAGAGAGAAGGAAAAACUUCAAUUUGGUCUCUCUGUGGUUUAAUACGAUUUCACUUUACCUCCCAAUAUUUUAAAUAGUUUUACUUGAAAAUCCCGUGGUUUUUUUUUUUUUUUUAUCUGUAUCAUCGAUCGUAAGAACUUGCCGUCAAGUGAAAACUAAAGUGCUAAAAUUUAUAAACUAUGGAAUAGUAAAGUGAUAUAUUUUAUAACAUAAAAGGUGACCGCCUAUAUCUGAAUAUAUUUUUUCAAAUAGCACUAUUACGAUUUAUAAAAUAUAUUAUUUUACUAUCCUAUAAUUCAUAAAUUUUAGUUCUUCAAUAUUUUUUGGUCGUAGAUCCUUACUUUAAAAUAAAGGCACAACAAUGAAAUAACAAAGUGAAAUAUUUUAUAGCAAAUGAAAAUGCACUGAGCCACGUCGGGGUGGGGCUAAACGAAGUUUUUCCAUCUGAAUUUUAAAAAAAAAAAAAAAUUAAAGAAAGAGGUUUUUAUGCUAGCUACAAUAGAAUAUUAAGGUGCUAUCCAGCUAAUUAAUUAAAGAAUAGUCAAGAGUUCCAAAUUAAUUACACACAACGACAUCUUUAAUGUGAUCGACACUGGUGUCGACAAAUUGUCCGUCUGCAUCGAACAACAGGGGGCACCCCUUAAUAUCUAACUCCUGAAGUGUGGUCAUCUUGUGGGCAGGCAAGUAACGGAGACUGCUGCACCCCCAGAUCUCCAAGGACUGCAGCUCGGUGAGCUCCCCGAGCCAAUCUUCAAUUCUCUUAAGAUCUAUGCAAAACCAUAUUGUCAGGGUGUGGAGGGACGUGAGACUCCGCAAGCUCUCGGGCAAACAAGUAAGCUGCUGACAUUGGUCUAUUCGUAGAUUCAGCAGCCCCUUAUUUGGUGGCGGUUGGAGUGAAACGGCGGCAUCGCCGCCGUCAAGUGGCGUCGCGCGUUCGAGAAUUAACGAUAGAUUCUCCUUGCUUGUUCUGGAAAUGAUCAGCUUCUCAACCGACACCGGGAGGCAAGGCUCCGGCCUCAAUUGAGGACAUUCAUAUAGACUCAAUUCAGUGAGACGUGGAAACAUAGGAACUCCCUCGGGCCUGCCUUCUUUGUCAUCCACCGUCAAUACCGUAACCCAUUCUCGCAGCAUUGGCAUGGAGAUCAAGUGAAGGCCCGUCAGAGCAGGGAACUUAUUCGCGCUUGCAGUAAUAUGGCUAUCUCCAUAAAAUUCAACGCCGAAAUUUGGUACCGCGGGCAUAUUUUUUAUAAUUAGGUCUUCAAGAAAAGGGAGUUGCCCCAGCGGCGGGAGUGAGCUGCAUCUGGGCAUAUUCACAAGUUGGAUUUGAACGAGAUUUGGGAGGCACGAGCCAAUCCUAUUCAUCAUCCAGCUAGGAAACUUCCCGCCUCCAUAGCCUUCUAUUACCAAAUUCUCUAGCUUUUGAUGUGGUUGAAGAUUUUCUAGCACGGUUUCCAUCUCUUCCGCCGGUAGUACUGUACUAUCUGUGCCUUCUUCCGCACUUAAAACGUUCCAUUCCAACUUCAAAGACCGCAGGUUCUUCUCUAUCAAAUUUGCAGCCUUGGCAUCAACCGGACUCGUUACAUUUUCGAGACCAUUGAUCUCCAGCUUGCCGACAAGCUUAAGGUGCUCUAGCUCAGAUAUGCUAGCACAAUGUUCGAUGCAGUCUUGCCUGCAGAUGACAAAAACAGACAAUUCCUGCAGGCUAACUAACUUGCCGAUCCCUCGGGGCAUGCCCUUCAAUUCCAAGCAAUUGUUGUUUAACAAGACUCUAAGUUUGGUCAGCUUUUGGAACAUUUUAGGCAGCUCACGUAAUUUUUUACAACCACUAAUGUCUAGUUUCUCUAAAUGCUGAAGAUCACUUGACGACGAGGGUAAUGAUAGUAGAGAAAAGCAUUCAGAAAGGUUCAGAAUACGCAAGUUUUGAAGGCUUCCAAUGGAUUCUGGUAAUGUCACCAAAGAAACUAGACCUGAUAGAUUUAGGAAAUACAGGUUUUUGAGGCAACUUACAGGUUCAAGUGAUAUCGCCUUUUGGCACGAUCUCAAAUUUAGUGCAUACAAAUUCUGAAGUUUGCUAAUUGAGUCAGGUAUUGUCAGAGAUCGGCAAUCGCUUAAAUCUAAAUUCCGCAAGUUCACAAGCCUUCCUAGAGCUUUGGGCAAUGUACGGAUCAUGUCGCAGCCUGAAAGAUUCAAGGUUUGCAAGUUGCAGA
RNAcentral lists this long non-coding RNA (20759 nucleotides) under Ananas comosus (pineapple). RNAcentral's name for it is "long non-coding RNA (ACOM_LNC044453)". The record is from RNAcentral. Lineage: Eukaryota; Viridiplantae; Streptophyta; Magnoliopsida; Poales; Bromeliaceae.